RNAcentral lists this ribosomal RNA (796 nucleotides) under uncultured Staphylococcus sp. Its description in RNAcentral is "bacterial SSU rRNA". It matches the Rfam family "Bacterial small subunit ribosomal RNA", at positions 188 to 896 of the family's 1533-position model. Lineage: Bacteria; Bacillati; Bacillota; Bacilli; Caryophanales; Staphylococcaceae. The record is from RNAcentral.
UUAAUUCUCCCGGUGAUAAAAAUUGUUUGAACCCCCCAUGGGUCCAAAAAGGUUGAAAGCCCGUGUUCUUCCUGUGUCACUUUAUAAGGUGUGAAUUCCGCUCUUGCCAUUUAGCUUUAUUUCGUUAAAGGUUCACCGCGCUCUUACCCCAAGGGCAGCGAUCCAUACCGACCUGGAAGAAGGUUAUCCGGCCCACACUGGGAAUUGAGACCCGGUCCCAGAACUUCCUUACCGGGAGCCACCCAUAGGGAAAUCUUUCCCCAAUGGGCGAAACCCUGGCCGGAGCAACGCCGCGUGGACUGAUGAAGUUCUUCGGAUCGUAAAACUCUGUUAUUAGGGAAAGAACAUAGGUGUAAGUACCUGUGCACAUCUGGACGGUACCUAAUCAGAAACCACGGCUAACUACGUGCCACAGCCGCGGUAAUACGUAGUUGCAAGCGUUAUCCGGAAUUAUUGGGCGUAAAGCGCGCGUAGCCGGUUUUUUAAGUCUGAUGUGAAAGCCCACGGCUCAACCGUGGAGGGUCAAUUGGAAACUGGAAAACUUGAGUGCAGAAGAGGAAAGUGGAAUUCCAUGUGUACGGUGAAGUGCGCAGAGAUAUGGAGGAACACCAGUGGCGAAGGCGACUUUCUGGUCUGUAACUGACGCUGAUGUGCGAAAGCGUGGGGAUCAAACAGGAUUAGAUACCCUGGUAGUCCACGCCGUAAACGAUGAGUGCUAAGUGUUAGGGGUUUCCGCCCCUUAGUGCUGCAGCUAACGCAUUAAGCACUCCGCCUGGGGAGUACGACCGCAAGGUUG